GUUGCUUCUCAUCCGCAAAUUAAUUUGAAGCAAAAGUCUUUCCCAUACAAAUUAAUGACCCCAUUACGAAACGCUCGUGUAAACAUGCAAAGUUUCAAAACUAUAUGCCUUAUAGCUAGUGAGCAUUUAUAUACGGUCAGUAUUUAACAAUGGAAACCUGUUUUAGAAAUUGCUUCUCAGAGAGCCUUCCAUCUAAUAUCUACACUUAAAACUCCAUUUUUGGAAUUUAUUAGAUGAUACUUCUGAUUGAUUCGCCCAUUGUACACCACAUCCACAAGGUUAAUAUCCACAUACCCCAGCGUUUCCUACAACAACAUCAGUCAUUAGUUCAUGAUAUUAACUGAUGUCAACAAAGCUUAGAGCACAAAACCAGUAAACUUUGUAUCAGUGGCAUUAAAGUUGUCAUUAAAACUGUGAAGUCUCGAAUUCAAACUCUAACUAAUGCCCAAUAAAGAAAACAUUAAACAUGGACAAAAAAGCACAACCUUGUUUCUGAAGCUGAAGCCUGUUCCCUUGCUCAUGACAUCUAUACGGAUCUUCUCUUUCAGGGGAGCCUCUUCCAGCACAAACUGGAAUUCUUCAUUCCAUCUUGGAUCUCUUGUUCUCCUAAUCAACUUGGUUUGCUUCUGCUCUCCCCUGAAUAUAACCAUUGCAUAGGGGUUGUUAUGAUGCUUUCCCUCAACAUCCUCUGCUCCCUCAACUGUAACUAAAAGCAAACCACCUCUAUGUACCAACAUGUCUUCAGGUAUCCUUCCAACUCCACUUCCCUUCCUCACAUUGCAAUCUAAAGGUCCACUAAAUUUCUCACUAUCUUCCUUGAAAGGAUUAAAUGCCAUCUCCACGACAAGUUUGCCUCUGUGUUUUUUAUUCUGAGGAUCAUUAGGAUUUGGGUUUUUGACUAAAUCCAGCGUAAAUCUUUUGGUUUCAUAUGGAGUGAGCAAUCUGAGUGGAACUACUUGCAUCCCCAGCUUAUCAUGAGUACCAACCUUUUCCCAGUCGUAAACAUGUAAUUGAAGGACUUGAAACUCAGGAUCCUUGACAACAAGCUUGAAGUACUCGUUCCACUCAGGGCUAAGGUUCUUCAUCUUAAUAGAAGUUUUCUUUGCUGGAAGCCUCUCUCCAGACAGGCUGAGCUGAACAUAAGGAUCAGAUGUUCCCAACAGAUCCAUCUUCAACAGUCUAACUGCCCGUAUGACCUUCACAUGCAGAAUGCCUACAGGCUUCUUCAUAGCCCCUACUGAACCAUCCAGAAUCUGUAUGUCAAGGGUUUGAGGCCAGAGAUAAAGACUAGCAAUUUGUCGUCCUAUAUGUUCCUGUGGGCAAUGAGAAGAAAAUAUCAUUACCACAGAAUGCACAUAACCCCAUAAGUACACUUACCCAUACUUAUGCAAGUAUGAUAAGUAUACCUAUAAACACAUGCUCACUUGCAUGAGAUGUAAGCUUAAGAAAUACAAUAUUCCCUUCUCCAUCUUCUUUUCUAAUGAUGCCUAAUCUUAACUGAUCUGAUUAUGCAUAAUCCAAAACCAGUAUUCUUGGGAUCUCAACAAUACUUACUUAUCAGCUGAAUUUUAAUAUUUUCGGUUGUGAUUCCAUUUCACCCCUAAAUGCUCAAAGUAUUACAUUCACUCCCAAAUUAUGAAAAUUUAUCAUUUAGAUCACAUUUUAAACUAUAGUUCAGUGCGAUUGAUGCACAUCUCCUUACGCCUCUGACAUUAAAUCAAAACUUGCAAACUUGCAACCAGCAAUUGUUCUCCUGGUAAAUCAGUCAAUCAUUGUUCUGCCCCAUUAAGUGACAAUUUUUAUUGAAAUGUGGUUUUCUUGGUGAUCUACAGCAAAUUAUAAAAUAAGAGGAGUGUAUUAAAAAUGAUAGGGUUCAUUGUAGAAUAUAAUCUUCAAUUCUUUAAAGAACAUGAAAAACAAGUUGACUUCUGAAGGGUAGCAUUUUUUUUUAUUUUAAUUUGAGAAAGUGUGGCAGAUAUAUAGUUUGAAAUUGUAGUUGGGUUAUGAUCAUGUUUGUUGUUGGUGUCAACUCUCUAAAGGUCAACCAACCACUUGGUAUUUUGAACAAUAUCCCAAUUACAGUAUUUAAAUUUUCAUUACCCAGACAAAGUCAUAAGCUGCAAAUGUUGCUGCAACCACAUAGAAAAUUGUUUGUGAGGGUACCUGAACAAAUUGAUACAAACCAGGGAUUGCCAUUACAUCAGCUCCAAGCAGUUUCAGUCCAAAGUCUACACGUGGCUGCAAUUUAAAGCUUUUCUAGCAAAGAAACCACCAAGCUGCCGAAACAAGGGAAAGUAGGCACAAGAGGUCUUAAUGUGAUCCGAGGUACUGCAAAUACUUGAACAUCCAACAGCUGUACUGUAAUUGGUAGAGAUAAGAAUUUCAGCACCAGAGUUAUGUUAGGAUUUCCAACCCAUCGAACUGCAGGCUCAAUUACUAGUUCUUUUUCACUUGUUUCGUGCACUUUAAUACCUGCAAGCUCGAUAAAUAUGAUCCCAAUACAAGAAAAAGCGGAAGAGGGAAAAAAAUCCUAAUGACUAGACGAAUGUUGUUGAUAAUAAGUUGAUAAGAGAGAGAUAUGCUUCAUUAUUAAUUAAAUCUCCAACAUGUACAUUCCCUUGGCCAACUAUACAAGUGUUUUUACCUUGUGAAAAAUACUUGAACACUUAACUCAACUAAACCUCAAUUCCAAGUAGUUGAGGUUGGCUAUAUGGAUCCAAUUCCUUCCAUUCCACCCAGUCUAAGACUUCGUCUAAAGAAAGGUCAAGCAGGGCCACUAAGUGCUUAAAUAUAAUCUUAUAAUUCAGUUCCUACCAAACUCAUUGGCUUCAUAAACUUAACAUGAAAUUCCAUGAGGAACCUAAACACAAAAUCCAAUAUUUUUAUCAGCUAUAUUUACCAUGUA
This 2905-nucleotide unclassified non-coding RNA is filed under the name Hevea brasiliensis (rubber tree). The record is from RNAcentral. Lineage: Eukaryota; Viridiplantae; Streptophyta; Magnoliopsida; Malpighiales; Euphorbiaceae.